This 435-nucleotide unclassified non-coding RNA is filed under the name Hevea brasiliensis (rubber tree). The record is from RNAcentral. Lineage: Eukaryota; Viridiplantae; Streptophyta; Magnoliopsida; Malpighiales; Euphorbiaceae.
AUUAAAACCCAAAAGGGCAAUCACAUCAAAUAGAGGCUAAAGGCCUGAUUACGAAGAGAGCCCAACCUAGAGCAGACCCACCCUUAGAGCCUAGUGCCCAAACCAAUUAAACCCCUAACCCAAAAAUAUAAGGGACCUGAAACUGGAGCCUCAUCCUUGAGCAAUGCCGCCGCCACUGGGAAUGACUAGAAGGAAAUGUCGGAGACCAAAAGAGAGUUUCUUCAGUCUAAGCCUUGCUAUCUAUUGCGUGGUGUCUCAAAGACCAAAGAAAACCCAUUAAAUAAAGGAGCAUCGCCAUCAGAAGCACCAUCAAGCUGAUAACCCCAUUAACAAAGGAGAGAGAGGAGGGCAGAGGGCAUGACAUUCUAGCCAUGAUAAAACCAGCAAAUAGAUCUUCAAAUGCCAGCUCUAAUCCUCAAGUUGCCUUCCUUGGAA